GUGAUGAAACCUCAAAGGGUUACCGAAAUUACUGAAUAAUAACGAUACAGGGAUAACUGAACUGGCAUGUGGUAGCCAAGCGUUCAUGGCGAUGCUUUUUGAUCCUUCGAUGUCGAUCUUCCCAUGUCAGCACGGUCAUCGUGUUCACCAAGCGUUGGGUUGUUCAGCCACCUCACUAAUAGGGAACGUGAGCUAAAUGGGUCUUGGCCGUCGUGAGAGUCGUUAGUUUUACCCUGC
RNAcentral lists this non-coding RNA (237 nucleotides) under Volvox carteri f. nagariensis. RNAcentral describes it as "Eukaryotic large subunit ribosomal RNA". It matches the Rfam family "Eukaryotic large subunit ribosomal RNA", at positions 2742 to 2997 of the family's 3401-position model. Lineage: Eukaryota; Viridiplantae; Chlorophyta; Chlorophyceae; Chlamydomonadales; Volvocaceae. The record is from Rfam by way of RNAcentral.